GUUCACCUUGUAACCCAGACAACUGGGUAAUAUUCGGCCAUCUUGUUUUUAUAAUACUUGGAAUAGUUGAAUACUUCGAAAAUAAAGAAAGCAACGCUGCAUACUUUUUUAAAGCUUUGACGUACGUUUAAAUAGCAUCUCAAGAUAACUAUAUUUCCUCAAAAGCAGCUAAAAAAUGUAAGUAGUGUUCUAAGCUGACUACAUUUACAGUUUGUACUUUGUAUGACAAUUUUCUCCUCGUAUUUUAAUAGUGGUUUGUUUUAUAUAUCUCCAUGGCAUGCUAUUACCUCUAGCUACUGAAUUAAUAAUACGUGUGUAAAAUUAUCUGAGAUAAAGAGUUUUCGUUUAUUAACUAAUGAGGAGCAUUUCUUGAUUUAAACUAACUUCAUAUUACCAAUAAACAUGUAUUCAAUGUAUUAAGUACAUAUUUAUAUUUAAAAAUAUGUUAUCAAUACUGUCAUUCUGUCAAUACAACAUGGAAAUUACCCAGUGGGUAAUAAAUUGAGUAAAAUGAGAAUGUCCAAAUAUUGUAUUGCAAAAUAAUAACAUGUUUGGUUUGUCUAAAGCAUUUGCAAAUUGCAAUUCUUCAAUUUUACAGUACCACGAUCACCUGUAGGAAAGUUAACAGUCCCGACGGGAUGUACCGAUCACAGGAAACUUAACAGUCCUGCAUGCGGGACGGGAUCCCUCAUGAUGGAAAAUCUAUCCCUCUGGAUGGAAAAUCUACCCCUUGGGAUGGAAAAUCUAUCCCUCGGGAUGGAAAAUCUAUCCCUCAGGAUGGGAAAUCUAUCCCGCAGGACGAGUAAUUUCACAGGACGAGAAUCCCAUAGCGUGGGAUGGGAAACGUGUCGCUUGGGAGAUGAUAAUAUGUAGAAAUUUGUUUAUAUGUGUUCUUUGACUUUGUUGCCUGGAGUUAUAUUCAGAAAUGUUUUUUGUUUUGUUUUCAAGCGUACUCCAAAUGUGGGGUUAAAAUUGGUUAUAAAAUAAAAAUAUAAUUAAUAAUAUACUGAUUACUCAUUAUUGGCCAACGGUUUUUGGUGACCCGUGGCUGUGUUGAUAUACUGUACAUUUUCAUUUUGUUAUAAAAUAUAAGUGAACCCCCAACCAAGUAUUUAUUGUAAGAGAUUUGGAUUUUGGUUUUAUUAUUGGUGUAUUGAUGUUAUCCAAAGACUCAAAGACAAACUGGUGAAUAUCUGCCAUGCAAACGAAAAUAAUAUGUGGCAAAUUGCUAUUGGUGUAUUGUGUGUCGAUUCAUUCCAAAAAAUCACUCAAACGUCUUGUUCUGUUGCAAUACUGCGAACUAAUUAUUCAAGAGUCAGUCAAAUUCAUCUAUAGUCUAAUACCCUAUAUAUACAGUACCGGUAGUCUAUAAUUUAUAUACCGGUAUUAUCUAUAUUUUUCGCUAAGAUACAGUAUUGUCUAUGUUUUUCGACAAAUCACAAAAACUAAACUAAAAGAAAAUGUCCUAGACUAAACUAAAAGAAAAUGUAAUAUUUAUUUUUUUUAAAUGUAAAUUUCAUGUACAUUCAUUUGCUAUAAAAAAUACAUUGUCUCGAGUGGGAUUCGAACUUGUAUCUUUAGGUUUCUAGACUGCUGCUCAAACUCACUGAGCUUUUGAGCAGGCGUAGAUAAUAUAGUUCAAAAUUCAAAAAUAAGAAUUUCCUGUGUAAGUCAAAUAUAGAACGUACUGCAUAUGUAGGUUUCAGAGAACGCAUGGUGACGCACAUUGUCGUAAACUUCAAUCUCAGCACAAGACAAUCUCGACUUGAAAAACAAUUUUGGAAUUGUUACAAUGAGUAAAUUAUUUGACAGUUCAGUAUAAGAUAACAAAAAUUUCAUGCGAAAAUAUUUUGUUAACAUUUUCCAGCAGCUGCUAUUGACUGAACAGGGAUUGGUAGCAAGUCUUAAUAAUAAUAAUAAUAAUAAUUAUACAGAAAUUUCUAUAGCGCCGUUUCCAUAUAGCCCAAUGGCGCUUUACAAUUUAAAGUGAGAAGACGCAACAACUUAAAAAUAUAAUAUGAUAUAGCUAAAUAAUGUUAAAGAUAAAAAUUCCACAAAAAAAGUCUAUAGGCCUGGCCUAUAGGCCAACCUAUAAGCCCCUAUAGGAAACCUAUAGCUUUUAAAAGGAACAUUUUCUAUAGGUGACCUAUAGGGAUGCCUAUAAUCCUAUAGAGCUCUAUAGAUGCCUAAAGGCUUCUAUCUGAGGGAAUUGGAACAUUUCCUAUAGGCCACCUAUAGACUUUUUUCGUAAGGAGCAAGUGUUCUAAGUAUUCAAGUGUUCUAAAGAUCUACUAAUUUUGGGGUGACAUGGCUUGGAGGAUAUGCAAUGAGUGAGACUAGUUUUUCAUAGCUCUGCAGAUGAUUCUGAAUUGAAACGCUGUGCUUCAUCCAAGACAAUGGUUAUGUUGUUGCAAAAAUAAUCAAAAUAUUUUGUCCACUUAAUUUAACUUGGGAAAGACUUGUAUCAAUCCCCCUGAAACACAUUGCACAUUUUCCAAGACACACAUAGGUGUAUGGAAGGAAAAAUAUUGGGAGGGGGGGAGAGGGGUUGGAUAAAUGUUGAUGGAAAUUGAGUAGCCAAGGUUGGAAGAAAUCCCUGAAAUCCGGGCAGAAAUGGGGGGGGGGGGAGGUACGAUGUGUGAACAAUGAAUAAUGAUACCCAUUUUUUCCGUUUACUAAUAGAAGUUGUAGUCUCUAUCUAUCUAGAAUCUUAAACUCCAGUAAAUGCCUAUGGUGGUUAAAAGCACAUUUGGACUUGAAUUUACGCGCAUAGCAGCGGUCAUGAGUGACUUCAAAGUCAGAUAUGGUGGCCAAGUGGGCCUCAUUCUUUAAUUUCUUUUUAUUACAAUAUAACUAUCACUUCAAAAAUGAAGACAUUGUAUUAUUCUGCUGUUGUAUUUGUGUGUACAGUACAAUGUUUUACAUGAAUAUUUUUUCGAUAUAACAACAUUAGGCAACUUAAAAAUGGCUUUCUGUGGUUGUAUCUUUUCUUCAAACCUUGUCCUAAAAACAUGAAAUUAAAUCAGGCAUUAAAAUAAUCGGUCAGUCACAGACAUUGUCCACCCAUUCGUGAAUUUGUCCGACGGAGAGAGGAACCCACCGGACAUUCUGUCCGACCUAAGUGAAUCUACAUGAGGUUUAUUGUUUGUCCGAUCUGAGUUUAUUCAUUUGUUGUCCGACCGAACUAUACAGUAGCUUUGUUCAAUGUAAACCAAAAUGUAACAUAUUGUUUUAAAAUGGAAAAUUACAGCAUAGCCUAUCGAAGGGAAGAUGGCUGUGAAACUCGUUAGAAUAACAAUAUAACUCAUUAUCUAUGUUAGUCAACGUUUGUUCAUAAUCUGGUCCUUUCACCAUCACGUGUGUAUUGUAUUUUUACCAAAUCCACCAAUAGCAAUUUCCAGUUUCCCUGUUGUUCGAGUCACAGAUAGGUGACUUUCCUAAAACAUUCCACACAAAUACAACACACACGUGACGGUGAAGGACCAGAUUUAUGAAUAAACGUUGACCAACAUAGAUAAUAAGUUAUAUUGUUAUUCUAAUGAAUUUCACAGCCGUCUUCCCUUCGAUAGGCUAUAUGAUCAGAGUGAUGUACAAAAAGUUAACUGGAAAUGUUGUGUUAAUGUAAUAGAGCGCGGGGCAGCAUUUACCGUUCAGAAUUAAUAAUAUAUCGUGCUGAUAUUAAUUUGUGUCAUUCAGAUUUAUUUCUGAGCCAAACUGAACUGAAGGUCAUUGGAUAUCAUCAUACAUAAUUUACAUAUUAUGUCCGACCUAAACCCAAGGUCAUCGGACAUUUUGUUAUCAUGAUGAAAUAGUGUUCUGGGCGCAUGCGCCUGGACCCCUUAGUUUCUCACGUCUUUGGCGCUUGGCAGCUUGCAUUCAAAAUGGCCUAAAGAUUUGCAUUCAAAAUGCCAAAUGGCGCUUGCAUUCAAAAUGGCCCCCUAAAGAUUAGAUCAUGGCUAUGCCACUGCCCAACAAAUGGCCCAAUAAAAGAAAUUCCAUCGUGAUAAACCUAUAAUUUCUGUAGUUUGUUGAUGGCAAAAAAAUUGCGAGACAUUGCAGUAGUUACCCCUUCAAGUGGUGAUGUGCACACGCCCUGAUGCACUCCACAGUACUUUAUUAUUUUACCCUCAGCUGUCUAAUGCCAGACGAUUUUAUUUAUAAAGGGGAGAGUGCUGCCGCUCAAUGAGUUAAAGAUAUUUUUGCAACAUUAGAAAUUUCUACCUUUUUCGAUGAUUUUACUACCUGUAGCACUUCCCUUUCAUCAUUCGCGCAAUUUUUAAGAAGUAGAAUUGCCCGAUUUUUAAGGGCCUCCCCUCUAGGUCACAUCUGUGAAGACAAGUGUUAAGUUGAAGAUAUUUCAUGCACUUAAAUUGGAUAAGACUUGCUAUCAAUCCUCAUUCACUCAAUAUAGCUGAAUGGGUAGAGUGGCAGUCUAAACUUGAAGAUGUGAGUUUGAUUCCCGUGGGAGACAACACAUUUUUCGUUGUACUUGGCAGUUUUAAUUUUUUUCAGAGUGACAAGUACAAACAAAUACAUUAGUAACUCUGCAUGAAAGUACUAAUUUCAGAAUUAUAUAUAAUUAUAUUGUUUUAAUCUCAAACUAUGUCAACAUAGCCAUUUGACAUCUGGUCUGGAAACUCUGCAAACUUCAAAGCGUAGUCCUCUCAAUUGCCACCAAAAAUGUCUCUGAAAUGAAAUUACCGACUUUUUUCCAAUACAAUAUGGGACAAGUGGAUUUUUAUCCUUUCAUUCAAUACAUCAAUAUUUCAGGUUUCAAAUAAUCCAUUAGCUAUAUUAACCUUUUAAGUGGCAAUGUGCCCUAGUUUUGCCCUACUUAGUAUUUUACUGACUGUCUAAUGCCAGACAAUUGAACAUGUCAAAAGGAAAGUGGUGCUGCUCAAUAUGGUUAUGCAUCAUUCUCAUUUUGGGAAAAAUUCUGUCGAAUUAUAUUUUCUUAAAUUGUCGGCUGGCCAAGGUUACAUUAUCCAUUAUUUGUGUUAUCUGCAGGAGUAAUUUUGGAAAGAGACCUCCCUCUGGUGCACUGAAGCCUGGGACUAAAGGACGUUUGGCCCAAGGAAGCAGUAUCCUUUUCAUGUGAUAAUAUCUUUUAAAAUAACUUUUUUUUUUUUUUUUUGUAAAUCAGCAGCAGGCGGAAUCCCAUUCUCGUACCCAGAGCCCUUCUUACGCGCGGUGCGACGAGGGGCCAGAGCCAAAUCCAUAUUCCGAACUGGCAUCUGAUUGGCUAGUUCUAACAGCGGAUAUUGUUUUCUUACCAUGUUUUUAUGGUAUCCGGUUAUGGAUUUGGCCAGAGCCCCUCGUCGCACCGCGCGUGGACCGUUUCUGCAAUCUGAUUGGCUGCAGCAGCGGGCGGAGUUUUACGAUAUUUGACCACGGUCCGGAAUCCUAUACGUAAUGGCCGAAGCAAAGCAAAAAUUUUUUGUAUGUUUGUUUUAAAACUGAAAAAUAUGAAUAUGUAAUUUUGAAAUAAUUUUAAUGAUGGAUAAAAUAAUUGUACUGUAUUUUAAAGUAAAAUAAUUAAAUAUCAAUUUUUUAUUGUUUUGUUUUCUAUAUGCGCAAUCUAAUAAAACCGUUGCCUUCUUCGACAAAAAAAAUAAAUACGUUAUUUACCGUUUAGGUCGGUCCGGAUAGAAAAAUAUUUUGUCUCGGUCUCAAAAACGUCCUUCGGCCUUCGGCCUCGGGCCGUUUUUGAGACCUUGACAAAAUAUUUUUCUAUCCGGACCUCCCAGCCGGUAAAAAACAUAUAUGUCUUUUAAGAAACAGAGUGUUCAUUAAAAUGAAGUACAAAACUUAAAUUCUAAAAAUAAAAUUUCAAGGACAGCAUGCAGUGUACUGAAUAUCAAUAAGGGUUACUGUAGACCUGUUCCAUUGUGCAAAACUCCUUGUACGAUUUCGCUGUUGUGUUUUUCAACAUGAGUAAUGAAGGAUAUUGUAUUAUGUAUUCGUACUCUACAUUUCUUCAGAAAAUUUAACAUGAAUCAAAAAGAUAUACAUGACUUUACUGUAUAUUGUGAAAACAUUGUUCGAUUAGUUAAAGUCACAACAAUGAGUAGUGACUGGAAAUGGAGAUCAUGAAACAUUGCAAUAAGAUUCUAAUAUGAUUCUAAAUGUCAUUCUAAUAUAUUCUAAUAUGAUUCUGAAUGUCGUUCUAAUAUAUUCUAAUAUGAUUCUAAAUCUAAAAUUCUAAUAUGAUUCUAAAUCCAGAUGUUGAUUAUGAUUCUAAAUCCUAAUAUGAUUCUAAAUCCAGAUAGGGAAGCAUUUUCUGUUAGCAUCAUUAUCACUCAUUUUCCUUCACUUGAGUUUAAAUUUCAGGCAUGGGAAGACCGCCAGG
Molecule: non-coding RNA, 6349 nt
Organism: Paramuricea clavata
Lineage: Eukaryota; Metazoa; Cnidaria; Anthozoa; Malacalcyonacea; Plexauridae
Source: the annotation of a GenBank genome assembly